Molecule: non-coding RNA, 44 nt
Organism: Schistosoma haematobium
Lineage: Eukaryota; Metazoa; Platyhelminthes; Trematoda; Strigeidida; Schistosomatidae
Source: Rfam
AUCCAGCUGACGAGCCCCAAAAUGGCGAAACGCGUGUCCUGGAU